This 398-nucleotide ribosomal RNA is filed under the name uncultured bacterium. Its description in RNAcentral is "partial 16S ribosomal RNA". It matches the Rfam family "Bacterial small subunit ribosomal RNA", at positions 360 to 776 of the family's 1533-position model. The record is from RNAcentral.
AAUAUUGCACAAUGGAGGAAACUCUGAUGUAGCGACGCCGCUUGAACGAAGAAGGCUUUCGAUUCGAAAAGUUCUGUUCUAGGGGACGAAAAUGACGGUACCCUAGGAGGAAGCCCCGGCCAACUACGUGCCAGCAGCCGCGGUAAUACGUAGGGGGCAAGCGUUGUCCGGAUUUAUUGGGCGUAAAGGGUUCGCAGGCGGCCUUUUAAGUCAGAUGUGAAAGACUACAGCUCAACUGUGGUAAGCAUUUGAAACUGAAAGGCUUGAGUUAAGGAGAGGAAAGUGGAAUUCCUAGUGUAGCGGUGAAAUGCGUAGAUAUUAGGAGGAAUACCAGUGGCGAAGGCGACUACCUGGACUGAUACUGACACUGAGGUGCGAAAGCGUGGGGAGCAAACAGG